This 242-nucleotide unclassified non-coding RNA is filed under the name Hevea brasiliensis (rubber tree). Lineage: Eukaryota; Viridiplantae; Streptophyta; Magnoliopsida; Malpighiales; Euphorbiaceae. The record is from RNAcentral.
CUCAAAACUUGAAGAGAUGCCCGAGUCCAUUGGACUUCUAACUCACCUUAUUCUGUUGAAUUUGCAAAACUGUGAGAAACUUGAGAACCUUCCAGGAAGCAUUGGCAAUCUAAAAUCUCUNNNNNNNNNNAAACAUGUCAGGCUGCUCCAAACUUGAGCAGUUGCCCGAGUCCACUGGAUUUCUAACAUGCCUCACUUCAUUGAAUUUGCAUGAUUGCGAGAACCUUAAGAGUCUUCCAGGG